Molecule: ribosomal RNA, 433 nt
Filed under: uncultured bacterium
Lineage: Bacteria
Description: partial 16S ribosomal RNA
Rfam family: Bacterial small subunit ribosomal RNA
Source: RNAcentral
AACGAACGCUGGCGGCAUGCCUAACACAUGCAAGUCGAACGAGACCUUCGGGUCUAGUGGCGCACGGGUGCGUAACGCGUGGGAACCUGCCCUUAGGUUCGGAAUAACUCCCCGAAAGGGGUGCUAAUACCGGUUAAUGUCUUCGGACCAAAGAUUUAUCGCCUUUGGAUGGGCCCGCGUUUGAUUAGCUUGUUGGUAGGGUAAAAGCCUACCAAGGCGACGAUCCAUAGCUGGUCUGAGAGGAUGAUCAGCCACACUGGGACUGAGACACGGCACAGACUACUAGGGGAGGAAGCAGUGGGGAAUAUUGGAAAAUGGGCGAAAGCCUGAACAAGCAAUGCCGCGUGAGUGAUGAAGGCCUUAGGGUUGUAAAGCUCUUUUACACGGGAUGAUAAUGACAGUACCGGGAGAAUAAGCUCCGGCUAACUCCGUG